RNAcentral lists this small nucleolar RNA (107 nucleotides) under Leersia perrieri. RNAcentral's name for it is "Plant small nucleolar RNA R71". It matches the Rfam family "Plant small nucleolar RNA R71". Rfam says of the family: R71 is a member of the C/D box family of snoRNAs containing the C (UGAUGA) and D (CUGA) box motifs. Multiple nearly identical copies of this snoRNA have been identified in Arabidopsis, and it is thought to function as a 2'-O-ribose methylation guide for 18S ribosomal RNA. The record is from Rfam by way of RNAcentral. Lineage: Eukaryota; Viridiplantae; Streptophyta; Magnoliopsida; Poales; Poaceae.
AUCCCAUGAUCAGGGCAGGCGGCGACAUACUCCUGCAGGCACUCCAAAGCUUCAGGUAUCGACUCAUCCCUCGUCUGCUGGAAACUUGAAAUUCUUUCGUGAAGGGC